This 29-nucleotide non-coding RNA is filed under the name Mus musculus (house mouse). The record is from RNAcentral. Lineage: Eukaryota; Metazoa; Chordata; Mammalia; Rodentia; Muridae.
UGGGUCUUCUGUCUAUUUUUAGCAAUGCA